This is a small nuclear RNA of Sarcophilus harrisii (Tasmanian devil), 103 nucleotides long. The record is from Ensembl. NCBI's taxonomy places the organism in Eukaryota, Metazoa, Chordata, Mammalia, Dasyuromorphia, Dasyuridae.
GAGCUUUGGCAGCACAUAUACUAAAAUUGGAACAAUACAAAAAGAUGAGCAUGGCCCCUGCCUAAGGAUGACACAUAAAUUCAUAAAGCAAUAAGUUAAAACU